This 24-nucleotide non-coding RNA is filed under the name Gossypium hirsutum (cotton). The record is from RNAcentral. Lineage: Eukaryota; Viridiplantae; Streptophyta; Magnoliopsida; Malvales; Malvaceae.
UUCAAGGCUUCUUAGGACUUAUCU